RNAcentral lists this ribosomal RNA (736 nucleotides) under uncultured Fusobacterium sp. RNAcentral describes it as "bacterial SSU rRNA". It matches the Rfam family "Bacterial small subunit ribosomal RNA", at positions 28 to 776 of the family's 1533-position model. The record is from RNAcentral. Lineage: Bacteria; Fusobacteriati; Fusobacteriota; Fusobacteriia; Fusobacteriales; Fusobacteriaceae.
GAUGAACGCUGACAGAAUGCUUAACACAUGCAAGUCAACUUGAAUUUGGGUUUUUUAACUUAGAUUUGGGUGGCGGACGGGUGAGUAACGCGUAAAGAACUUGCCUCACAGCUAGGGACAACAUUUGGAAACGAAUGCUAAUACCUGAUAUUAUGAUUUUAAGGCAUCUUAGAAUUAUGAAAGCUAUACGCGCUGUGAGAGAGCUUUGCGUCCCAUUAGCUAGUUGGAGAGGUAACGGCUCACCAAGGCGAUGAUGGGUAGCCGGCCUGAGAGGGUGAACGGCCACAAGGGGACUGAGACACGGCCCUUACUCCUACGGGAGGCAGCAGUGGGGAAUAUUGGACAAUGGACCAAGAGUCUGAUCCAGCAAUUCUGUGUGCACGAUGACGUUUUUCGGAAUGUAAAGUGCUUUCAGUUGGGAAGAAAAAAAUGACGGUACCAACAGAAGAAGUGACGGCUAAAUACGUGCCAGCAGCCGCGGUAAUACGUAUGUCACGAGCGUUAUCCGGAUUUAUUGGGCGUAAAGCGCGUCUAGGUGGUUAUGUAAGUCUGAUGUGAAAAUGCAGGGCUCAACUCUGUAUUGCGUUGGAAACUGUGUAACUAGAGUACUGGAGAGGUAAGCGGAACUACAAGUGUAGAGGUGAAAUUCGUAGAUAUUUGUAGGAAUGCCGAUGGGGAAGCCAGCUUACUGGACAGAUACUGACGCUGAAGCGCGAAAGCGUGGGUAGCAAACAGG